UCGGUUCUCUGCGUAGGCACAAACAUUCCUGAGCAAAGUGGGAAAAGAAAGCCUGCUGAUAAAGCUUGGCAAGACCAGGCACUGUGGCAGAUAGCUGAGGAUGAACUUAAAAUGCCCGACAAAGCACCUCCAGCAGCAGCCUCCAGAUUGAAAAAGGACUUGCUUUCUCAAAUUACAUGCUUCGCCACCUCCAAGCAAAAGCACAGUGGAGAUGAAAGCAACAGAGCUCAAACCCCCAUGGACUGUGUUUCAGUGACAGCAGAGAGAUGUCUCUGCAGUCAGGACAUCCAAGGGUCCACGGGAGAACACUGUUCCUUGCACAGCUGACUGGAAAGCUGAAGCUUGCUCCUGUAAUGUGUUCGUACUUUAAAAGUGUAUUUUAGAUAAGCAGAAACAAUGUAAGGUUGGAUAGUGUGAGCAGCUUAACACUUCCCAGUGACUCUGAAGGUCCAAGGAAAAAUGUAUUCUAUUACCUGUAAGUAACAGCUGGAAAAACUACUUGGGACUUAGAAAACUGCAAAUGAGCCACCUCUUAACAAGCACCCUUUCCUGCCACUAGCAUCAGUACAAAUAAUUCGGAGUGGAGGUUGUUUUGUUGUGGUUUUAGUUAGAAUCUCCUGUAAUUUUGAGGAGCCAUUCAAAAUAAAGGCAAGGAUGCAACCUUAAGUCCCAUUUAACAAGAGCUGACUGAACUGCAACUCCUCUCUUGUCUGACACAUUCUGUAAUAGUACUAAAACACUCUAACUGUGAUCAGAGCACCACAAGGGUACUUGCUCUGAGGAGCUUAUAACCUAAAGAUAUAUGAGACAGUAUGAGGAUGUGUGAAGACUGACGUGGCAUUAUCUGUCAGGAAACCUGAUUACUGAAUUUGUAUUUUCUGCCCAUGUCUAUGUAGGAAGUUAUCAGCCAUUCGACCCUCGAGUAUUUAUCUGCCAUAUAGUCUGAUAGGAAAAACAGCUUCUACAGCUUUUGGCUUGAAACCUUUACAAAAACAUAACUGAGUUUUGGUUUGCUUUGGUUUUGAGAUGAAGUGGUGGUUGAGAAAAGCUGAAGGAAAUCUGUCACUUUGCCUCCCCCAUGAUUUAACUGGGAGUUCAUGGCUGUGCAGCUGUGGCUUGGUUGGGUUUUGACAGUGACCUGAUGUACAGUUGUCACACCAGUUUGAGUACCCAUGGAUGAUCAUAACAGCAUCCCUUUUUGCCUUUCCAUGGUUUUUCAGAUUUUUGAUGCUGAAUGAUUAAUCACUGAGCAUUUACCAUUCUUUAUCAUCCCUGAGACACUUUAGAGCAUGUCAUACCUAAUUGCUGGCUGAUCUCUGGGCUCACUGGUUUGUUGCAUGGAAAGCUCAGAGGACAGUAGUAAAACAACAACAAAGACUUAAAGAUUCAGACCCAGUUCUUUCUGCAGAUUUGCUAUUCCUUUCAUUUACUACAAGUAAUGCAAAAGAAGGUUUCCCUCUUUUCCUUUCCAUUUUUCUUUCCUUUUUUUCCCCACACUCUCAAAUGUUAAAGGAAACCAUCAUCAUUAGCAUCUUCAUGAUGAAAAUCACAGCAUCUCUGCACAGACAAGGUUAAAAAUGGAGAAACUAUUACCAAGCCCAAGUUUCUGUCUGGGUUUCAUGGAGGGGAACUGUUCAUCAGGCCACCCACGCUGCACAGUGUAGAACAUUACACAUAAUCAUACAGUGCCAGCUCUUUCCUUUAUUUUCUAAAUACUGUCUUUUUGCUUCUGGCUUUGCUAUUGCUGGGUGCUAAUCUGUCUUUUUAUCUCCAAGGAAGGUCAAGUUACACGGCAGCCCAUAUAGCCUGGUUCCUGCUGAGAUAAAGAGGAAGGCAGAAAUGUUAAAACAAUAAUGGCUAUGGUCUGAGGCCUGCAACUGGUAAUCAGCUCCUAUCUUGGCAGAGGUUGUUUCCUUGAAGGUUAUUUGAAGAAAAUAGGCUUGGUUUGCAGGAAGAUACCUCUUUUUCCCCCCAGGCAAACACAGUGGUGCUUUUCAUCCAUGUAGCCACCUUUGCAACACUGAGAUUUUUCUUUCAGUCUCUGCUCAAUGAAGAACAACCUCUAUCAGCUUCCCACUGGUCCAGCUUUUAUAAAUGUUCGUCAUUAAAGCUCACUUUACAGAUCAGGGCUUAGAACCAGACCUGUCAAUAUUCCCUUUACUCUCUGAUCUCACAGUUACUAGAUAGGAAAACACAUCAAAUGCAAUACAUUAAAGUCAGCCAUAUUCUGUCAAAACCAAACAGAGAAAAGCACAAAC
Molecule: long non-coding RNA, 2258 nt
Organism: Pyrgilauda ruficollis (rufous-necked snowfinch)
Lineage: Eukaryota; Metazoa; Chordata; Aves; Passeriformes; Passeridae
Exons: 3
Source: RefSeq, a predicted model, not a curated record